This 274-nucleotide ribosomal RNA is filed under the name uncultured bacterium. RNAcentral describes it as "partial 16S ribosomal RNA". It matches the Rfam family "Bacterial small subunit ribosomal RNA", at positions 523 to 796 of the family's 1533-position model. The record is from RNAcentral.
AUACGGAGGGCGCGAGCGUUAUUCGGAAUCAUUGGGCGUAAAGCGCGUGUAGGCGGCUGGGUAAGUCGGAUGUGAAAGCCCGGGGCUCAACUCCGGAAUUGCAUACGAAACUGCCUAGCUAGAGUCUCGGAGAGGAGGGCGGAAUUCCCGGUGUAGAGGUGAAAUUCGUAGAUAUCGGGAGGAACACCAGUGGCGAAGGCGGCCCUCUGGACGAUGACUGACGCUGAGACGCGAAAGCGUGGGGAGCAAACAGGAUUAGAAACCCCGGUAGUCC